RNAcentral lists this ribosomal RNA (371 nucleotides) under uncultured organism. Its description in RNAcentral is "partial 16S ribosomal RNA". It matches the Rfam family "Bacterial small subunit ribosomal RNA", at positions 527 to 897 of the family's 1533-position model. The record is from RNAcentral.
GGAGGGUGCAAGCGUUAAUCGGAAUUACUGGGCGUAAAGGGCGCGUAGGUUGUUUAGCAAGUUGGCUGUGAAAGCCCCGGGCUUAACCUGGGAUGGUCAGUCAAAACUGCUAAACUAGAGUGUAGUAGAGGGUAGUGGAAUUUCAGGUGUAGCGGUGAAAUGCGUAGAGAUCUGAAGGAACACCAGUGGCGAAGGCGGCUACCUGGACUAACACUGACACUGAGGCGCGAAAGCAUGGGUAGCGAACAGGGAUUAGAUACCCUGGUAGUCCAUGCCGUAAACGAUGUCAACUAGUUGUUGGGUAAUUAAUUACUUAGUGACGCAGCUAACGCGAUAAGUUGACCGCCUGGGGAGUACGGUCGCAAGAUUAA